RNAcentral lists this ribosomal RNA (442 nucleotides) under uncultured bacterium. RNAcentral's name for it is "partial 16S ribosomal RNA". It matches the Rfam family "Bacterial small subunit ribosomal RNA", at positions 338 to 795 of the family's 1533-position model. The record is from RNAcentral.
CCUACGGGUGGCAGCAGUGGGGAAUAUUGGGCAAUGGGCGCAAGCCUGACCCAGCAACGCCGCGUGAAGGAAGAAGGCUUUCGGGUUGUAAACUUCUUGUGACAGGGAAGAGCAGAAGACGGUACCUGUCGAAUAAGCCACGGCUAACUACGUGACAGCAGCAGCGGUAAUACGUAGGUGGCAAGCGUUGUCCGGAUUUACUGGGGGUAAAGGGCGUGUAGCCGGGCUGACAAGUCAGAUGUGAAAUCCGGGGGCUCAACCCCCGAACUGACUUUGAAACUGGUGGUCUUGAGUAUCGGAGAGGCAGGCGGAAUUCCUGGUGGAGCGGUGAAAUGCGUAGAUAUUAGGCAGAACACCAGGGGCGAAGGCGGCCUGCUGGACGACAACGGACGGGGAGGCGCGAAAGCGUGGGGAGCAAACAGGAUUAGAUACCCCUGUAGUC